Long non-coding RNA from Mya arenaria, 933 nucleotides. RefSeq lists it as uncharacterized. Lineage: Eukaryota; Metazoa; Mollusca; Bivalvia; Myida; Myidae. The record is from RefSeq and is a predicted model, not a curated record. The transcript has 3 exons.
CACUUCAUUGUGUAAGAUACAGAAAAUACAAAAAAUGUACCAUAUUCAAGGAAGCUAAUUUGAGUUUGAUUAUGCAAGGCAUAAAGAAAUAUUUUCCAUCUGCACAAGGAAUACAAAACUUAGGAGAAUCACCAAAAUUGUGAUAAGGCAAUCAUAAGAAUUAAUCAAGCAUAAUGCUUGUACAAAUUGUGGACUUUAUUAUACUGUGAUGGGUGGCAGUUGGAGGGAAAUUAUUACCAACAUCAUAACAGCAAAUGGAACAUACACUUUGAACUUGUCUGGAUAACGCUGCUGGAUAACGCUGCUGAAUGGGAGGACUGUUUCGUUCGACUACGUAUAAAUAAAUAAUAUUCGAACUCCGAAGUUGAGUGGUUUUGUCUUGGGACACCCACACUACAAAUGGCUCCCCGAUCGAGGUUGGCGUAGUCCAGAGCCAGGCCGUCGUGUCCUCCAGACCAGACGUUGAGGGGAUUUUGUCUGCGUUUUGACGCCCAGAAGAGGUCGAGAAGCCCAGCAUAUCCGCCGGCACCUCCGUAUUGGUAUACCUCCCCGUCCCUUUCCCCUUUUAACGGUUUGCUAUGUUUAUUCCCAGCGUUAGUGCAACUAUGUUUUUUAUAAUGAAACUCUUAUUAUUAUACAGCUUUAAAUCUUUUAUUUCUUAUUUGAUACGAUAUUUUAAAGAUAGGAACCCUCUGCGAUUACCCGUCCAUUAUCAUCCAGACAGCAAAGAGGAGAAGGAGGCGGUGGAGGGAAUGUUGGUCGAAUGUUGGGCAGAAAACGGAAUUGAGAUGAUAAAAAAUGCGCCCAAAAUCGGCGUUAUUGGGCGGCGUUAUUUUAACAGUUCACAAUAGUGUUUUCAGCUUCCGCUUCCCUAGUAACAUGUUUCAUCCUGUUAUAUUUUGAAAUAAUAAAAUAAUAUAGAUUGAACAAUAA